This is a long non-coding RNA of Nannospalax galili (Upper Galilee mountains blind mole rat), 8807 nucleotides long. RefSeq lists it as uncharacterized. The record is from RefSeq and is a predicted model, not a curated record. NCBI's taxonomy places the organism in Eukaryota, Metazoa, Chordata, Mammalia, Rodentia, Spalacidae. The transcript has 4 exons.
AGUAGCAUUUUCCUCGUCCUCCUGGGCUGGUAGCAGGACCUUUCCCCUGCGCCACUUGCUCCUGGCAGUCCUGCCCCCGGGUGCCAGAGUGGCCAAGGCCCAGGCCAGGACCUGGGCACUGAUGGACACCAGAGCCCGGGAGGCCCAAGGGCUUGUUGGGCAGAGGCUGGCACCGGGGAGCAGCCUACUGGCCAGCGGGAGCCCUCUUCUCUGGCCAGGGCAGGCACAUCAUUUUCACUUCCUGGCUUUCGCGAAGGCGUCUCUGUCCUCCGGCACCUGGAACAUGGCCAUUCCAGAGCGCUGUCCAGGAAAGUGGGAGCCUGUCAUGGACAUCAGAAGACCUUCCAGGACCUCAUUCCCAGGCCUAAGCUCUCUUGAUGACUUCACUCAGUAGAGGACCAUGUCGACCCCAGGCCCUGCUCUGACUUGUAUCGACUGGUCGCUGUCAGAGGCCUGAGCCCUCUGCUGUAUGAGUUGUACUCCCUUACGAGCCAGCUAGUCUGCGAGGGCCCUUCUGCCAGCCACAGCCCCCAGGUCUCAGUUUACCUGUCUGUGAAGUGUGACUGCUCUCCAUACAAGUUUUUGCCCUGUACAGGUCAGGAGGCAGCAGACAGCACAAGGUGGGAUCUGUGGCCCCAAGAGCUGGUCUCCUUGCCUCUGGGUCACAGUUUGAUUCUGAGUAAAAUUUGGUCAAGACAGAGCACAGGGGUGGAGAGGGGAUGUAAAGGAAUCCCACAACCCCCUGGAGCUGGAGUCAUCCCUCUGUGGGGUCUGUGGCUGGUCAUUAAAUAUCCACUGACAAUUGCCCUCUACCUGUAGAGGUUUGAAACCAACCAUGAGGAGCAGAGGGCAGUGGGACCUUUAACCAGAGACCAGAGUAGGGGAUGGGAGUAGGUGAUGUUGCUUGUUUGGGAAGCAGCUAGGGCAGGGUGAGCAGGCAUCUAGGGCCAUCCUAGCCAGAGCCACAGAAGGUGGGGAGGGGACACAGCUGCAUAUACCUGGAGUAGGUCCCUCUUGUGGCAACUGCUCUGUCUCCUAACAUGACUCCUGCCCUCGGCCAGUUGGCAUCAGAUAGGAAGGAGUUGCCUGGCCCACCAGUCCCUGGAGCACAGGCUAGCAUUUGGACCCCCUGGCUUGAGGCCACCCUGACCUGGGCAGGCGAGGACACGUCCCACAGGGAGGCUAGGGCAGAGAAUUGUAACCCAGAGGACAUCAGGCGUGGGAAGCCCCGUGGCCUCUGGGACCCUCACUGUGCUCCUUGACAGCUGCACCAACCCCCUUGAAGGGGAGUGUCACAGCAUCUGGAAGCCCUGAGUGCCAGGACAUUUAGAUCCUGGGCAGGAAGAAGGCUCUAGAAAUUACUUGCUUGGUCCUCUGUGUCUGGUCAGACCAUCUCAGGCCACAGUACAGGGCAGAGCCCUGUUUCUAGUUAGGAUGCUUCUCCUUCCCCUGCCAAGCCUCUAGUGGUCCCCACCCUCUGACUUCCGCUGCCUUUGUCUUUCAAGGGCUCCACAAAAUGGCCGACACAGCCUUCCGCCAUCUUGUAGCUCAGGCAAGUAGGAGGGAGGAAAGGAGACCCCUGCUUACUGCUUGCCCUGAGUGGCCUGGACAGAGCCCAGCACCAGCCCCCACCCUGUUCGGCCUUGGCUAUGGUUACCCUGGGCUUGGCACAGCCAGCUGCUUGGCAAGGCAGCCUGGGAGUCCUGGCCCCUCACCCAGCCCUUGAGUGUCCCUCACCAUCCCCUAAGGCUUCACCACUAAGCAGGCGGAGAAAAAGACUGCACACCAGAAUCUAAAAGGGCAGCCACCAAAGCUGUGCUCCCACAGGGAGUCCUUGGCAGGCCAGCAUGGAUGGUUCUAGAAAUGGUGUAUCUUGUGUGGAGCUGGGUUCCUGAGACACCAUUAGCAAAGGUGGAUUUGGAAUCAGCCCCACUAGAGAGGAAAACAGUACCUUCUGGCCUCCACAUGCCUCUCAAACUCUUGACCUGCCCAAUGAUCUUUGGGCUCCCUGGCUAGGGGUGAGACAGGAUGCCAGGCUCUUAGUAGCCUGUCAGGCCCAUGGCCUGGGCAGCCUAUGACCAUCUUCAGGUAGCAGGCCAGGUGCUUGCUGGAGAAGGCUCUGUUCCAAGAGCUAGGCCACCCACCAGGCCACUGAGGUUCACAAAGCUGGGGGUGAGCUGUUCUUCCCACCCCAACACAGCCCCCUUCCCAUGUAGUACCUGGUCCAGCAACUCAGCUCAGUGGGGAUCCCCUGUGGGCUUCCUUGGAACUUUCUGUGCUUGUUAACAAGCUCAUGCUGUUCCUCUGCCUUUCCAGAGCCCACCAGAUCAGAAGCAGCUCAUUCCAGAGUAGGCGUGAUGAUGGAAGCCAGGCCCACAAAACCCCCAGCAGCCCUGGGUCAUGGCCACGCAGACAGUACACACUGGCUUCCUAAGGUAGGACAAGCAGGGUGGCCUCUGGGAGCCAGGAGUAGCCAGGCAUCCCUGCCACCCCCAUGACAAGAUCCUUGAAAGAAGCUAGGAGCCAGUUCCGUGUGAAGUGGGGAAAGGGGCCCUCGGAAGGCUGGUGCCACCUCUGGGCAGCGUGGGGGUUGCUGAGUGACCCUGCCGGGCCCCGUGCUCUCUGUGAGGGCAGCAAGGGGCUGUGUGUAGACAGCAAGGCCAGGCUUUCUCACUAGAAAGUUUGAUCUUCUUUCCCGUGUUUCCCAGGCAGAACAUUCUAUCACCCUGAUGUGAGGCUUGCCCAGGCCAUGUCCUCCAUCCAGAGAGACCCAAGAGAAUGUACUCAGACUGCCGACCAGAACAGUGCCAGGUCAAGCCCAGAACUUCCUAUGUGCCAGGUCAAGCCCAGAACUUCCUGGGAGCUGUGGAGAAAAGUUCUCCAAGGAAAGGCCAGGGCUGGGAGGGAGCUGAUGAACGCAUACUGCAGAGCAGGCAGGGUCUACACUGGGUCAUCUCCAUGGUGUUACGUCUGUAGCCACCUCCUACCCACCUGCCUAUGACCAAGACUGGGGCUUGAGUUGAGAAUAUCUAGGGAUGAGCACACACCUUGCAGGGUAAAGCUGUUAACCUGACGUAUAAAGGUCCAGCCCCAGCCUGAGUGUUGCUGAGAGGAGGGCCCUGAACACUGGCCGUUCCCUGCUGCGCACCAGCCCAUUCGUGUCUCACCCUGGCUAAGAGUAAGCAGCUUCUCCAUGCCUCCUGCUACUGAAAGUACCAGCUGGCAGUCUCACCAGGUCUCCAGAGGAGGCCUAGGGGCCGUCCCUCAUACCCUGUUGCCGUGUGGAAAGAGUUGGGCUUAGAUCCUGGCCUCCCCAGCCAGCUCCAGGCUCUGAAUACUCAGAUAUCUUUCUCUUACGGGAUUUGCUGUGGGCCACAGUGCUCAUCACCUGUCUGUUUUCGGGGUGGCAAUGCCCCCACUGCAUUUUAGUCCUUAGGUCUGGCCCAAGGUCCAACAUAGGGGCUCCAUCUUGGGCCCUACCAGCAUGAGAUUUGAAGAGCCAGAGGCAGCCGGGUCCAAGGCAUUUAGGUACCAACUCCAGUUUUAACCCUGCGCUUCUGGGGGGCCCCUAGGAUCCUCUCUAUAGACUUGCCAAAGCAGCCUAGUGUGAGGUUAGGGGAGAGUCAGCAAGCCUGGGUCAUCUUCAUUCAAAUGUGAUGUCUUGUCCAGGAACCUUUUUGUAUUAAUAAUUUCUCCAGAUUUCACACAAAAGUGUUACUUGUCUCAGUGACCGAGAUUCUUGGUGACUCUCGGUCUUUAACAUGCUUGUCCUUGCCAGACCCAAGAUGGCACUUUGUGAGUGUGGCCUGUCUCUGGGCACACAGACCCAGGCCCGGUCAGUGAACAUGCAUCUUGUUAACUUUAUGGACCGUGUUUGCAGGGAGACCCGCCUUCUGCCCAGCCUGAUGCCACCCCUCUCAUCGUUCCCAGACUCGCUGUUGGCACGGCCUGCUGAGCAGAGACACCGGCUGCUUUAUGGGAGAAACCUAAUCAGGGAGGCUAAGGGAGGGGGACUGUCAAAGGGCGGGGGUCUGGCUCUUGGUGGCCCCAAGCCAAGUCUGAGGUGACUUCAGGGUGACACUGUCUGUCUGCCUCACUCUCUCCAGACAUCCGCCCAGCCUGAAAGGGCCACCUGCCUGCUAAGGCCUUCUAUGCACCUGUCCUGGCCAGUCUGGCUCCUCCCCCCAGGCACCCUGCCCAUGGACAGACACUGAAGGGCCAGGGCCGGGCCGGGAGGUGGCAGCUGGCAGAUGGCAGGGCGCCUGCUGACUGCUCAGUCCCUGGCAGCCUGUUCAGGACACCAUUCACGUUACAUUGCCUGCUCCUGCUGACAACCCUUCUCCAGCCUGGCCCCAUAGGGUCCACUUGAUCUGUCGCAGGACCUCUUCCUCGUCACUCCUUGAGAAAGUUAUCUCUGGUACUCCCCCAGCCCCACACCGAGGCCUGAGGGCAGUGUUCAGACCCAGGCUGUUGGGCAGGUGGUCCCGGCACAUCUCAACACCCCCAGUUCUAGAACUGUGCCUUUUUCCUAACUCACUCAAAAGGGAACCAGAAAUGAUACUAUCCCCACCCCCCAAAUGGGCUGUUGGCUAAAGUCCCAUGGAGCCUGCGUGAGCCCCCUGGGUGGGGCAGAACUGAGCUUAGGAACCUGAGGAGGUCAUGGUAUCCGUGCCUGGCUGCCAGAGCAUGGAGAGGUGGUGAAAGGAAUGUGUCCGAGGAAGGCACCUGUAGGUCAGUCUCACCAGGCUCAGAGCCCUGGGCAGAGCCAGGCCCCCUGGGGUGCAGGGGCCUCUUGAAAAGGAGCAGGAAAAACAGGCCAGCAGCUCUUGGCAGAGGGACAGGCCAGGGCAAAGGCCAGGAGGUGGGAAGGUCCUGGGCGAUGGCUAAGUGCAGAAUAGGCCUGCCCAGGGCAUUUUGGUGCUCUGGGGCACUUCAUCAGGGGGUUUGGCUGACAGGGGCAUAGUGGGACAGAUCAGAGAAAGAGUGGCAUUGUGAUGGACAGCUUAGCUGGCUGUCAGGGAGGGGCCUUCCCACCCUGUGUCCUCAUUACCCUCAGUAGCCACAUGGAUUCAACUUCCCAGCCUUAGAAUGGGUGGCAGCCGUAAGGCUCACAUGUCAGGCAGAGGAGGGCAGAUCCUAAGGGGGGCUUGUUUCUGUGUACCCCAGGUGCAGCUCCAGAGCCCUUCAGCUGGCUGGGCUGCGCCCUCACCACCACCCAUGUCUCUGCUUGGCUUUCUGUCCUUUUGCUGCUGGCUCUGCCAGGAUGCUUUGGCCAGAAUGGACCUCGUGGAGGUAGGGUGAUGACUUGAUUCAUAGAAGUGAGCCCAUGCUUCCUCUAAGCCCCUCCCCUGGUAUGUUCUUUGAGGGCUCAGGCCCUGCUUGCCUUGUGUCCUGGGGAAGCUGCAUCCCACUGCUGCCUCUGCGAGGGGAUUAAACGCUCCCUCCAGGGUCCAGUUGUCUACCACAGGCCAACAUUCAUGGGGCCAGUAUGAGACUGUCCCCUCCCUGUGGUUCCUUCCACCCUCUGGGCCACUGGCCACCCAUAUAGUCAGGCCACUGGCCACCCAUAUAGACACACCCAGCCACCCUGGAUGAAGUCUGAGUCAUAGUCUCUGACACAGCAUGUCUAUCACAGGGCUAGUCAUAGAGGCCACUCUGUCCAGGGCUUUGCAUGGAGAAUGUCACUAUGCAGCAGACAGACUGGAUAGAAAUGUCACUGUGCUGUGGGAUGGCAGGAUGGGGCCAAGCUGUAUCCCUUGUGAAACUGAUGCUUGUUGCUUUUGUUUCUAAGCCCAAGCAGGUCAGGAAGAGGUCCCAAGCAGGAGCUCCUGUCUGCAGCUAGCCUCCCUGUGGUGAGUGGGGCCUCCACUGUCCUUGCUCUGGAAAGUAGAGAGCCGUGGGAGACUUCAGAGAGAGGAAGGCUAGGGUCAGACCUGCCCUCAGCUCAGUUGCUUUUACCUGGAGGUCGUGUACUCCCCCAGGCUGUGCCUCCCCCUAGCAGACUGCUCCAGCUGACCCACCUCAUCUAUCCAUGAUGCACAAUGAUGUGAUGACCUUGGACCCCAUUGAGCUCCCUGGUCCUUCCACAUCAGACUGUAUGUGGUUUAAUGGAGCCACAGCUCCGUUCAUCACAGGCUCUUAAGAAGAAGAGUGCUCAGCCCUGUGUCCUCCCUACCCUGAAGACACUGUCCAAGGCAGGCUCACACCCCUCAGGCUCACCCACACUUGAGAGUCCUCUGAGGACCUCAGUAUGAGAUAGCUCCCUUUUCUCUGCCCUUCCAUCACUCGGCCCUCCAGUGAUCCUAACUCUUAGGCUACCUGCCAUUGAUGGAGGACAAGCCUGGGGGUACAACACAGGAGAGUCUCAUCUGGUCUGAGAAUAAAGACCACAUGAAGGAAACUGAGGUGGGGGGGAGGGGACUGAGGUCAAGACCCACCAGGAUGUCUGACUCCCACAGCUGGGGCCCUGCAUCACCAGUGCUGCUGUUAAAUACAAGCUCAGGUUGGGCACCGACAGGCUAUAGGACAGGGGCUGUUGGGCCACCGCAGUGGCACAUGCCAGCCUUCCACUGAUUACUAACUAGAGUGGCCUGGAGCUGCUGAUAGCAUGGGCUUCUCUGGUCAUGUCACCACAUCCAGAUGCAGUCUGGGACUAGGGCUGACAAGGUUACCCACAGCCAGUUAGCCUACAGGGUGGCUGGGCAGUGCUGAGGUACCCUUCCGCUUUUCCACCUGGACCACUAUGCAUAGCUGGGAGGACCGGGGGACCCUCAGCCACUCUCUCCAGCCCUCUUCCUGCUUUGCUUGCUCUGUUUGGUCCGUCCUUCGGGGAUAUGCCACUUAUGUGCCAGAAAAGGGGUCCAGGCUUGAGGCAGGGGGCAGGGCCCCAGAGGCUCAUAUUAGAUUUCCUUCUGGGGCGUUAUGGAACACCGGUUCCCACCAGAAUAGACUAGACAGUGCCUAUACAGAGUGGGCCAGGCCGUAGUAGUGCUUCAGGACCCUACUCCCAGGUCACUCUGUCCUGCAGUCUAGCUAUAGGGUACAGUGUGGGAUUAGGCCUGAUGAUCUUCCUUUUGACCCAGGGACCUUGGCAGAGACAGAUGGGGGCACCGAGUUGAGUGUCAGGCCUCAUACAGGGAGCAAUAGCUGCCUAACUUUUGGGGACUGACACAGGGUCUCCUUCCACAGUGGUGGGCAAGUCUGUCUGAGACCUAAAAGAGGCAACCCCUUCCCUUCUGCUGAGAGCAGAGCCACCUGGGGCCAGAGACUCGGCCUGCUGAGCCUGUUUCCUCACAGUGACUGGCCUUACAGGUAGAGGACUAGAUGGCCAGCCUGCCUGGUGCCUGCUUGGAAGAGGUGGUUGCCCAAAUUUUUUUUUUUUUUUUUGUCUUUUGAGACAGGAUCUUUGUAGUCUAGGCUGGCCUGGAACUUGCUAUGUAGACCAGGCUGGCCUAGAUCUCACGGAGAUCCACCUGCCUCUGCUGGAACUAAAGGCGUGUACCACCACACCCAGCUCUUGUAAGACAAAAACACUCCAACACACUGCCACCCCUCAGCUGGGAAGGGCUGCAGGCCUUGGUUUAGGCCUGUAUGAUGAGCUAAUAGUAGGCUUGUCCAGGGUUCUCCAGCAAGUGGGUGGCUAUGGGUAACCUCUCCAAGCCAACUGCUGCUCCAGGAUGGGCAGUACUCAGUGUGGUGUCACCUGCCUGUUACAUAGCAAGCAGAGAGACCCCCACCAGGCCCUCCAUCCUUAGAACAGUCUCUGCAAGCAGGAGACCCACUCCAGGCCCUCCAUCUUUAGCAUGACCUCAGCAUGUAGGGAGACCCAGGCCAGGCCCUCUGUUCUUAACUGGGCCUUCUCCCUGCCAGGGUCAGUCCAAGGCUCUGGGAUCCCUGAGUUCAAGGCCAAGCAAAGGGCCCCUACUGGCCUCAGCAAACGCUGGCUGCCAGGGACAGAUUGGCCCUGAAUAUCCAGCCAGGGUCUGCACUUCCGCCAGACUGGCCGCUGUGGGGAGCUAAGUUGCCUCCCACAAGGAAAAACUGAUUUGAGCCCUCCCACAGCAAGGUCAGCUCAGGCCGCUCCUGGGGGUAGGGACAGGACUGGCGCCUACAAGGAGGGGCCCUUCCUGCCCAAGGGAAGUAGGGUGCAUGCCCAAGGCCACUGCCCACUCAGAGUUCCAGUCCUCCAGUGCUGCUUGUGAUAAAGGCUGGAUCACACCCAGGGGGACAUUGGAAAUUCCCUUGACCUGGCUGGCCUUUGGCAGAUGGCACCUUUCCCCCAUCGUGCCUAAGGUAAGAAGAAUCCUGUGAAGACGCGGUGGCCCAGCCGUCUAGCCCCUGGCGCCUUUCUUCAUCCCUGCUACCCUUAUGCUCUGUGCUUGGUAGUCUGGCUGCAGUGUCCUGGCCCACUCUUGGGGAACCCUCGACCUCCCACCUGCUGACGUCCUCAGCACCUGGCUGGCCUCAUCAGACCCCUCACCAUGUCCCCAGCUUUUUUUUCUCCCUCUAGGAGGCACCUCAGGAAGCCACGACAACCAUCUCGACGCCAAGACUGACUGACGGCCUUUGGGGUGAGGUAGUAGGUUGUAUGGUUUCGGGCUCUGCCCCGCUCUGCGGUAACUAUACAAUCUACUGUCUUUCCUGAAGUGGCCGCGAUAUCUGCAGUGGAUGGAGUGCCAGCCCCAGCUGGGGAGACCGUGGGAGGUGCAGAGGUGGGGGAGUGGCUCCUGUACAAGUCUGAUGAGGACCUUGGGCAGGUCUCUUGACCUCUCUGGCCUCUGUUUACUCAUCCGUGCAGUGGGAACAAG